This 550-nucleotide ribosomal RNA is filed under the name Cytobacillus horneckiae. Its description in RNAcentral is "bacterial SSU rRNA". It matches the Rfam family "Bacterial small subunit ribosomal RNA", at positions 214 to 757 of the family's 1533-position model. The record is from RNAcentral. Lineage: Bacteria; Bacillati; Bacillota; Bacilli; Caryophanales; Bacillaceae.
GUCACUUACAGAUGGGCCCGCGGCGCAUUAGCUAGUUGGUGAGGUAACGGCUCACCAAGGCCACGAUGCGUAGCCGACCUGAGAGGGUGAUCGGCCACACUGGGACUGAGACACGGCCCAGACUCCUACGGGAGGCAGCAGUAGGGAAUCUUCCGCAAUGGACGAAAGUCUGACGGAGCAACGCCGCGUGAGUGAUGAAGGUUUUCGGAUCGUAAAACUCUGUUGUUAGGGAAGAACAAGUAUCGGAGUAACUGCCGGUACCUUGACGGUACCUAACCAGAAAGCCACGGCUAACUACGUGCCAGCAGCCGCGGUAAUACGUAGGUGGCAAGCGUUGUCCGGAAUUAUUGGGCGUAAAGCGCGCGCAGGUGGUUCCUUAAGUCUGAUGUGAAAGCCCACGGCUCAACCGUGGAGGGUCAUUGGAAACUGGGGAACUUGAGUGCAGAAGAGGAAAGUGGAAUUCCAAGUGUAGCGGUGAAAUGCGUAGAGAUUUGGAGGAACACCAGUGGCGAAGGCGACUUUCUGGUCUGUAACUGACACUGAGCGCGAA